RNAcentral lists this ribosomal RNA (402 nucleotides) under uncultured bacterium. RNAcentral describes it as "bacterial SSU rRNA". It matches the Rfam family "Bacterial small subunit ribosomal RNA", at positions 355 to 774 of the family's 1533-position model. The record is from RNAcentral.
UGGGGAAUAUUGCACAAUGGGGGAAACCCUGAUGCAGCGACGCCGCGUGAGCGAAGAAGUAUCUCGGUAUGUAAAGCUCUAUCAGCAGGGAAGAAGAUGACGGUACCUGACUAAGAAGCACCGGCUAAAUACGUGCCAGCAGCCGCGGUAAUACGUAUGGUGCAAGCGUUAUCCGGAUUUACUGGGUGUAAAGGGAGCGUAGACGGAGAAGCAAGUCUGGAGUGAAAACCCGGGGCUCAACCCCGGGACUGCUUUGGAAACUGUUUUUCUAGAGUGCCGGAGAGGUAAGCGGAAUUCCUAGUGUAGCGGUGAAAUGCGUAGAUAUUAGGAGGAAUACCAGUGGCGAAGGCGGCUUACUGGACGGUAACUGACGUUGAGGCUCGAAAGCGUGGGGAGCAAACA